This 2905-nucleotide ribosomal RNA is filed under the name Salmonella enterica subsp. enterica serovar Newport str. VA_R100804798. Its description in RNAcentral is "23S ribosomal RNA". It matches the Rfam family "Bacterial large subunit ribosomal RNA". The record is from RNAcentral. Lineage: Bacteria; Pseudomonadati; Pseudomonadota; Gammaproteobacteria; Enterobacterales; Enterobacteriaceae. RNAcentral also lists the same sequence under 5 other names.
GGUUAAGCGACUAAGCGUACACGGUGGAUGCCCUGGCAGUCAGAGGCGAUGAAGGACGUGCUAAUCUGCGAUAAGCGCCGGUAAGGUGAUAUGAACCGUUAUAACCGGCGAUUUCCGAAUGGGGAAACCCAGUGUGACUCGUCACACUAUCAUUAACUGAAUCCAUAGGUUAAUGAGGCGAACCGGGGGAACUGAAACAUCUAAGUACCCCGAGGAAAAGAAAUCAACCGAGAUUCCCCCAGUAGCGGCGAGCGAACGGGGAGGAGCCCAGAGCCUGAAUCAGCAUGUGUGUUAGUGGAAGCGUCUGGAAAGGCGCGCGAUACAGGGUGACAGCCCCGUACACAAAAGCGCAUGUGUUGUGAGCUCGAUGAGUAGGGCGGGACACGUGGUAUCCUGUCUGAAUAUGGGGGGACCAUCCUCCAAGGCUAAAUACUCCUGACUGACCGAUAGUGAACCAGUACCGUGAGGGAAAGGCGAAAAGAACCCCGGCGAGGGGAGUGAAAAAGAACCUGAAACCGUGUACGUACAAGCAGUGGGAGCACCCUUCGGGGUGUGACUGCGUACCUUUUGUAUAAUGGGUCAGCGACUUAUAUUCUGUAGCAAGGUUAACCGAAUAGGGGAGCCGGAGGGAAACCGAGUCUUAACCGGGCGUUAAGUUGCAGGGUAUAGACCCGAAACCCGGUGAUCUAGCCAUGGGCAGGUUGAAGGUUGGGUAACACUAACUGGAGGACCGAACCGACUAAUGUUGAAAAAUUAGCGGAUGACCUGUGGCUGGGGGUGAAAGGCCAAUCAAACCGGGAGAUAGCUGGUUCUCCCCGAAAGCUAUUUAGGUAGCGCCUCGUGAAUUCAUCUCCGGGGGUAGAGCACUGUUUCGGCUAGGGGGCCAUCCCGGCUUACCAACCCGAUGCAAACUGCGAAUACCGGAGAAUGUUAUCACGGGAGACACACGGCGGGUGCUAACGUCCGUCGUGAAGAGGGAAACAACCCAGACCGCCAGCUAAGGUCCCAAAGUCAUGGUUAAGUGGGAAACGAUGUGGGAAGGCCCAGACAGCCAGGAUGUUGGCUUAGAAGCAGCCAUCAUUUAAAGAAAGCGUAAUAGCUCACUGGUCGAGUCGGCCUGCGCGGAAGAUGUAACGGGGCUAAACCAUGCACCGAAGCUGCGGCAGCGACACUGUGUGUUGUUGGGUAGGGGAGCGUUCUGUAAGCCUGUGAAGGUGUGUCGUGAGGCAUGCUGGAGGUAUCAGAAGUGCGAAUGCUGACAUAAGUAACGAUAAAGCGGGUGAAAAGCCCGCUCGCCGGAAGACCAAGGGUUCCUGUCCAACGUUAAUCGGGGCAGGGUGAGUCGACCCCUAAGGCGAGGCCGAAAGGCGUAGUCGAUGGGAAACGGGUUAAUAUUCCCGUACUUGGUGUUACUGCGAAGGGGGGACGGAGAAGGCUAUGUUGGCCGGGCGACGGUUGUCCCGGUUUAAGCGUGUAGGUGUGUGUUCCAGGUAAAUCCGGUUCACUUUAACACUGAGGCGUGAUGACGAGGCACUACGGUGCUGAAGCAACAAAUGCCCUGCUUCCAGGAAAAGCCUCUAAGCAUCAGGUAACAUCAAAUCGUACCCCAAACCGACACAGGUGGUCAGGUAGAGAAUACCAAGGCGCUUGAGAGAACUCGGGUGAAGGAACUAGGCAAAAUGGUGCCGUAACUUCGGGAGAAGGCACGCUGACACGUAGGUGAAGUGAUUUACUCAUGGAGCUGAAGUCAGUCGAAGAUACCAGCUGGCUGCAACUGUUUAUUAAAAACACAGCACUGUGCAAACACGAAAGUGGACGUAUACGGUGUGACGCCUGCCCGGUGCCGGAAGGUUAAUUGAUGGGGUCAGCGCAAGCGAAGCUCCUGAUCGAAGCCCCGGUAAACGGCGGCCGUAACUAUAACGGUCCUAAGGUAGCGAAAUUCCUUGUCGGGUAAGUUCCGACCUGCACGAAUGGCGUAAUGAUGGCCAGGCUGUCUCCACCCGAGACUCAGUGAAAUUGAACUCGCUGUGAAGAUGCAGUGUACCCGCGGCAAGACGGAAAGACCCCGUGAACCUUUACUAUAGCUUGACACUGAACAUUGAGCCUUGAUGUGUAGGAUAGGUGGGAGGCUUUGAAGUGUGGACGCCAGUCUGCAUGGAGCCGACCUUGAAAUACCACCCUUUAAUGUUUGAUGUUCUAACGUGGACCCGUGAUCCGGGUUGCGGACAGUGUCUGGUGGGUAGUUUGACUGGGGCGGUCUCCUCCUAAAGAGUAACGGAGGAGCACGAAGGUUGGCUAAUCCUGGUCGGACAUCAGGAGGUUAGUGCAAUGGCAUAAGCCAGCUUGACUGCGAGCGUGACGGCGCGAGCAGGUGCGAAAGCAGGUCAUAGUGAUCCGGUGGUUCUGAAUGGAAGGGCCAUCGCUCAACGGAUAAAAGGUACUCCGGGGAUAACAGGCUGAUACCGCCCAAGAGUUCAUAUCGACGGCGGUGUUUGGCACCUCGAUGUCGGCUCAUCACAUCCUGGGGCUGAAGUAGGUCCCAAGGGUAUGGCUGUUCGCCAUUUAAAGUGGUACGCGAGCUGGGUUUAGAACGUCGUGAGACAGUUCGGUCCCUAUCUGCCGUGGGCGCUGGAGAACUGAGGGGGGCUGCUCCUAGUACGAGAGGACCGGAGUGGACGCAUCACUGGUGUUCGGGUUGUCAUGCCAAUGGCACUGCCCGGUAGCUAAAUGCGGAAGAGAUAAGUGCUGAAAGCAUCUAAGCACGAAACUUGCCCCGAGAUGAGUUCUCCCUGAGACUUAGAGUCUCCUGAAGGAACGUUGAAGACGACGACGUUGAUAGGCCGGGUGUGUAAGCGCAGCGAUGCGUUGAGCUAACCGGUACUAAUGAACCGUGAGGCUUAACCUU